Molecule: long non-coding RNA, 159 nt
Organism: Gavialis gangeticus (Gharial)
Lineage: Eukaryota; Metazoa; Chordata; Crocodylia; Gavialidae
Exons: 3
Source: RefSeq, a predicted model, not a curated record
GGAUUUGUAGUCCACAGUCACAGCCAGCAAUCUGGCACUGAUAUUUGAUGCACCAGUCCAACCUAGCUCAAGUCAUCCGUUUCUGGAACAGCAUUGGAAUCAGAACGCUGGAUGAACACUACAGGAAUAUUCUCAGACACCCAUCCCUUAGGAGUCCUA